UACGUAGGGGGCAAGCGUUGUCCGGAUUUAUUGGGCGUAAAGAGCGUGUAGGCGGCCGUACAGGUCAGCUGUGAAAACUCGAGGCUCAACCUCGAGCUGUCGGUGGAAACCGUGUGGCUAGAGUCCGGAAGAGGAGAGUGGAAUUCCCGGUGUAGCGGUGAAAUGCGCAGAUAUCGGGAAGAACACCCGUGGCGAAGGCGGCUCUCUGGGACGGUACUGACGCUGAGACGCGAAAGCGUGGGGAGCGAACAGG
RNAcentral lists this ribosomal RNA (253 nucleotides) under uncultured bacterium. Its description in RNAcentral is "partial 16S ribosomal RNA". It matches the Rfam family "Bacterial small subunit ribosomal RNA", at positions 524 to 776 of the family's 1533-position model. The record is from RNAcentral.